GGGCACAUCACGUUAAAACAUCGAUUCCCGUACGAUCACCUAAGUUAAGCACCAUUGAGUCUGGUCAUUAAUAUGGAUGGGUGACCGCUUGGGAAUACUAGAUGCUGUAAG
Molecule: non-coding RNA, 111 nt
Organism: Acanthosepion pharaonis
Lineage: Eukaryota; Metazoa; Mollusca; Cephalopoda; Sepiida; Sepiidae
Source: the annotation of a GenBank genome assembly